This 1167-nucleotide unclassified non-coding RNA is filed under the name Monomorium pharaonis (pharaoh ant). Its description in RNAcentral is "uncharacterized LOC118646980, transcript variant X3". The record is from RNAcentral. Lineage: Eukaryota; Metazoa; Arthropoda; Insecta; Hymenoptera; Formicidae.
AAUAGUUAAGAAAAAUUGAGAGAGAAAAGUAAGAAGAAUAAAAUAAAUGAAAACGAUGAAUAUUUUCAAGAUGAAUUUGCCUAGAAAUAUCGAGAGAAAAAGAGAGAGAGAGAGAGAGACAGAGAGAGAGAGAGAGAGAAAGAGAGAGAAGAAAUAAGGAAGAAUAUCAGAUGGAAAUCGAUGAAGACGCAUUGUUAGAAGUUUAUGAUGUAAUUAAUUUUCCAACAAGUCCUAUAUCCGUUCCUGUGAGAACCGAAAAGCAUUCAAUCGACGAUCACGCUAGUAAUGAUCGUCCCACGCGUUAUCGCCCCGCUCGUGAUCGCUCCACUCGUAAUCGCCCCACUCAAGAUGGCUCCGUUCGUGAUCGAUCUGCUGAAGAUGGCUCCGUUCGUGAUCAUCCUGCUCAAGGUGGCUCCGCUCGUGGACCUACUAGUGAGCAUUCUAUUAACGAUCGCCCUAGCCUUCGAAAUUCUGAAAUUCGUCCUGGAGUGGAUCGUACUGGAACUAAUCCUAUUGAAGAUCUCCAGUCUCCAAACGUUCCACAAUGGAGAGGUAGGGGUAGAAGAAGUGGCGUGCGACGUCAACAAGAGAGGUUUAUGAAAUUUUUGUACCAAUUAACUUUCUUCAGCGCAUUAUAAUUGGGGUAAACGAGGAAGGAAACAAGGAUAAGCGGACAUCAAGAAGAAUUUUUUGUGUUAAAUUUCGAAUCUGUAACAACAUUUUAUUGUUAAUAAUAAAAUUUAAAUGAAUUUGUUAAUAAUAAUAAUGUUAAUUUUUAUAUUAUUAAAUUAUAAUGUAAUUCAUUUAAUUAUUAAACAUUAAAAUAAAUUGUUUAAAAAAAUUAUUGUUAUCUAAUACUGUAUGAUUUGUAAUUUUCUGUAGAGCUUCAUUUUCUCUCUUACUUUUGUCAACUUCUGUUUGUAAUUUGUCAAUUUUUUGUGGCUUAUAUUUAAAAAAAAGGUUUUUUAUGGCUGUGCUUAUUAUUUUCUUUUUCUCUCUUUUUUCUUCUCUUUCAGCAGAUAAUCGAGAAACAGCCACAAUGAUUUGAAGGUUCUUUUCUACUAAAAAAAGUACGUAUACAUAUAUACAUAUUAUAUUUCUACAUACUAAUUUAUGGAAAAAGUAAUGUCUUAGAUUGUCUAGAUUAUAUAUAUAAAUAUGUUUAUG